Non-coding RNA from Triticum aestivum (bread wheat), 136 nucleotides. Lineage: Eukaryota; Viridiplantae; Streptophyta; Magnoliopsida; Poales; Poaceae. The record is from Rfam.
AUUCUACUCCAUCCGUUCCACAAUACAUGCCUUCUGUUUUUCAAAAUAUAGAUGUAUCUAGACAUGUUUUAGUAUAUAGCUACAUCCAUUUUUGGACAAAUGGAAGUCAAGUAUUUUGGAACGGAGGGAGUACACA